CCUACGGGUGGCUGCAGUGGGGAAUAUUGCACAAUGGGGGAAACCCUGAUGCAGCAACGCCGCGUGAGCGAUGAAGGCCUUCGGGUCGUAAAGCUCUGUCCUAAGGGAAGAAUACUGACGGUACCUUAGGAGGAAGCCCCGGCUAACUACGUGCCAGCAGCCGCGGUAAUACGUCGGGGGCUAGCGUUAUCCGGAAUUACUGGGCGUAAAGGGUGCGUAGGCGGCCCUUCAAGUCAGAGGUGAAAGGCUGCGGGGCAGCCGUAGUAAGCCUUUGAAACGGGAGGGCUGGAGGGCAGGAGGGGAGAGUGGAAUUCCCAGGGUAGGGGUGAGAUUCGUAGAGAUUGGGGGGAUGAGCAGUCGCGGAGGCGGCUCUCUGGACUGUAACUGACGCUGGGGCACGAAAGCGUGGGGGGCGAACAGCAUUAGAUACCCUGGGAGUC
This 440-nucleotide ribosomal RNA is filed under the name uncultured bacterium. RNAcentral describes it as "bacterial SSU rRNA". It matches the Rfam family "Bacterial small subunit ribosomal RNA", at positions 338 to 795 of the family's 1533-position model. The record is from RNAcentral.